Molecule: ribosomal RNA, 1236 nt
Filed under: uncultured bacterium
Lineage: Bacteria
Description: bacterial SSU rRNA
Rfam family: Bacterial small subunit ribosomal RNA
Source: RNAcentral
CGUCGGCGAUAUAUCUCUCUGAGAAGAGUAUGUCUAAUCGCAUUUGCUUUAAGAAAAAAAGAUAUGAUUCUGCGCCCUCCCAUAAUGGAGGCGGCUGAUAUCCGGAUUAGUUAGUGUAAAGAAAAGCUCCCCCAAGGCGCCCGUUCUUUGUUGGUUGGAGAGGACGACCACCCACAGUAGAACUGGGCCACGGCCCAGACUUCUUAGGAGAGGCAGCAGUGGGGAUUUUUGGACAAUGGGAGGAAACCCUUGAUCCCAGCCAUUCCGCGUGUGUGAAGAAGGCCUUCGGGUUGUAAAGCACUUUGGCGAGAAAGAAACGGCGUCGACUAAUACUCGGCGUAACUGACGGUACCCGCAGAAUAAGCACCGGCUAACUACGUGCCAGCAGCCGCGGUAAUACGUAGGGUGCAAGCGUUAAUCGGAAUUACUGGGCGUAAAGCGUGCGCAGGCGGUUCGGAAAGAAAGAUGUGAAAUCCCAGGGCUCAACCUUGGAACUGCAUUUUUAACUACCGGACUAGAGUAUGUCAGAGGGGGGUGGAAUUCCACGUGUAGCAGUGAAAUGCGUAGAUAUGUGGAGGAACACCGAUGGCGAAGGCAGCCCCCUGGGAUAAUACUGACGCUCAUGCACGAAAGCGUGGGGAGCAAACAGGAUUAGAUACCCUGGUAGUCCACGCCCUAAACGAUGUCAACUAGCUGUCGGGACCUUCGGGUUUUGGUAGCGCAGCUAACGCGUGAAGUUGACCGCCUGGGGAGUACGGUCGCAAGAUUAAAACUCAAAGGAAUUGACGGGGACCCGCACAAGCGGUGGAUGAUGUGGAUUAAUUCGAUGCAACGCGAAAAACCUUACCUACCCUUGACAUGUCUAGAAUCCCGAAGAGAUUUGGGAGUGCUCGAAAGAGAACUGGAACACAGGUGCUGCAUGGCCGUCGUCAGCUCGUGUCGUGAGAUGUUGGGUUAAGUCCCGCAACGAGCGCAACCCUUGUCAUUAGUUGCUACGAAAGGGCACUCUAAUGAGACUGCCGGUGACAAACCGGAGGAAGGUGGGGAUGACGUCAGGUCCUCAUGGCCCUUAUGGGUAGGGCUUCACACGUCAUACAAUGGUCGGGACAGAGGGCUGCCAACCCGCGAGGGGGAGCCAAUCCCAGAAACCCGAUCGUAGUCCGGAUUGUAGUCUGCAACUCGACUGCAUGAAGUCGGAAUCGCUAGUAAUCGCGGAUCAGAAUUCACGUACCCCCA